ACUCCCAACUCCGGUUGAUCCUGCCGGACCCCACUGCUAUCGGGGUGGGACUAAGCCAUGCGAGUUGGCGCCCUCAGCCGACGGGGAGGGCGCGGCGGACGGCUCCGUAACACGUAGCCAACCUACCCUCAGGACGGGAAUAACCCCGGGAAACUGGGGCUAAUUCCCGAUAGGUGAGGAGGCCUGGAAUGGUUCCUCACCGAAA
This 205-nucleotide ribosomal RNA is filed under the name Candidatus Bathyarchaeota archaeon. RNAcentral describes it as "partial 16S ribosomal RNA". It matches the Rfam family "Archaeal small subunit ribosomal RNA", at positions 1 to 191 of the family's 1478-position model. Lineage: Archaea; Thermoproteati; Candidatus Bathyarchaeota. The record is from RNAcentral.